CACUUUAGGUGUUAAACCUUUUCCUGCAGGUGGUUUCUCUAGCCUGAGAGUGACUAGAAUUCAAAAAAGCUACAAGCAGGUAUGACUCUCCCUAUGGUCCAGGUAAGAAAUACCCAAACUGAAGACACUAAAGAUAAAGAGAAGAUGAAUUGAGUCAUUUGCAAAGAAGGUAAAAUUGACAAGCUGGUAUUCAACGGAAGCACGGAUAACAGAAACAGGCCUCUACACCAACAAGGAAAUGUUAACCAACAAAACAACCUGAUAUAUCCAACUCUGGAGCCCAAAUGCUAUGGGCCACUGAACACCAAGAGGCAGCGGGCCGGCUGAUCAUUUGGCAAAGCGGCCUGAUCUCAUGGUUUUACCCCUAAGGAAGCCAGCAUGUGGCUACUGACCCACCCACCACAGGAAUCCAGGGGCUAAAUGCCUAAGCCAACGGCCCAGGUUCUCAAGAGGCCAGGCAGGGUGAGGGACCACAAUAAUUCCUCAGCAGCAACCACUACCAUGUUGUAAAAUAACAUAGCUUUGUGUUCCCCAAUAAAAUCAUUAAAUCGCAUUCUUUGAAAGUUUUGUUUAGUCCUUUUAUAAAAAUAUGAGGCGCGCCUGAUUUUCAUACCCACAAGCUCAGAUCUGCAAAUAUUAGAGAUUUUUUUUAAUGUCAUUUAUUCGUACCAUGAAAUUUUUUUCCACAAUUUCUUUUUUUUUUUUUUUUUCCCUUUAGUCAUAGUUGCAGUUCAUGGA
Long non-coding RNA from Bos taurus (domestic cattle), 738 nucleotides. NCBI's taxonomy places the organism in Eukaryota, Metazoa, Chordata, Mammalia, Artiodactyla, Bovidae. The record is from Ensembl.